RNAcentral lists this ribosomal RNA (440 nucleotides) under uncultured bacterium. RNAcentral describes it as "partial 16S ribosomal RNA". It matches the Rfam family "Bacterial small subunit ribosomal RNA", at positions 338 to 795 of the family's 1533-position model. The record is from RNAcentral.
CCUACGGGAGGCAGCAGUGGGGAAUAUUGCACAAUGGGGGAAACCCUGAUGCAGCGACGCCGCGUGAGUGAAGAAGUAUUUCGGUAUGUAAAGCUCUAUCAGCAGGGAAGAAAAUGACGGUACCUGAGUAAGAAGCCCCGGCUAACUACGUGCCAGCAGCCGCGGUAAUACGGAGGGGGCAAGCGUUAUCCGGAUUUACUGGGCGUAAAGGGAGCGUAGACGGCAGCGCAAGUCUGAAGUGAAAUGCCGGGGCUUAACCCCGGAACUGCUUUUGAAACUGUGCAGCUAGAGUGCAGGAGAGGUAAGUGGACUUCCUAGUGUAGCGGUGACAUGCGUACAUAUUAGGAGGAACACCAGUCGCGACGGCGGCUUACUGGACUGUAACUGACGUUGAGGCUCGAACGCGUGGGGAGCAAACAGGAUUAGAUACCCGGGUAGUC